This 753-nucleotide long non-coding RNA is filed under the name Zonotrichia albicollis (white-throated sparrow). RNAcentral's name for it is "lncRNA (ENSZALG00000017805.1)". The record is from RNAcentral. Lineage: Eukaryota; Metazoa; Chordata; Aves; Passeriformes; Passerellidae.
UCCAGGCAAGCCCACAGCUCUGUGAUUGAUGAGUGUGCUGGGGAGAAAGUGGGAAGGACACAGUGCAACAGUGUUCUUUACUCUGCAAUUGGGAUCUUCUUGUGUAAGGUGAAAUUAAAGAGUUGAAGAAGAGGAACUGAAUGACUGCAAUAAAUAAACUAAAAGGGCUGUUUUGUCAUUAUCUAGGCUGUUGGAGAGGACUUCUGGCUUUUUUCCAGGGUACCUGACUGUCUUAUUGCAUACUGGUGUCAUCCAGGGCAUCCAACAUGAAGAUCUCUAAUGUUAAUGAUAAAGAAAAUUACUUCCCUGCGAUCGGGAUUGGAGUGAGCACAAGUGGCAUCACUGUUCUGUCAGUUUCCCAGGCAUGAUGGAACAGCCCAAAUUCCAGCUGAUCUGCAAACCUGUGCACUUCCCUCUGUAGCUGUAGUAGCAGUGUGGUGGAUUGCUUGUCUGUCCUUCUACCAGACUUACCACAGAGUCUAUUUGGCAACAUUUAAAGGCAAAUUAUGUUUUCCUUCCAGGGAUUGCAAGGGGAUGUUAUGGAGAGAAUAUGGUUCCCAAGCAGCCCUGUUAUCAAUAGGCAGCUAAGAAGGUACAUUAGGAACUUAGAAAUAUUAAAUGCAUCAGGAAGAAGAAAAAAAAAGAAAUUACUGUGGUGUUUUCAACCAGAAUUUCAACUCCUGGUUUUGACAUUGCCAGGUAAGGUUGUAGUAUUUACAAGUUCUCUUCUGUUCUUUCUGUGAUUGUUUGUGU